Molecule: long non-coding RNA, 615 nt
Organism: Pistacia vera
Lineage: Eukaryota; Viridiplantae; Streptophyta; Magnoliopsida; Sapindales; Anacardiaceae
Exons: 3
Source: RefSeq, a predicted model, not a curated record
UAGGCGGAUUUAUUGGAACACCUGUCAAAGCAUUGCUUGGCUACAUGGAUGAAGUGGCUUGUUAACCAGUGGAGCAAUGUGGCUUAAUUUCCAGAUGGUUACUUUUAUCCAGUUUCAACUGACUGAUAAACUUCAAGAACUUUUAUGGAACUGGACUUAUUUGAUGGUGUGUAAACAGAUCAUCAGACUGCAGCUUCGUCUCAAACUCUCAAUAAAAUUUUGACAGCCGAGAAGGGUACACAUGCAACUUAAAUUUGAUCUGAUACGCAGGUUGAUACAACAACAUGGCAUCAACCUCCGCAGUCUUCUUAGUUUCCAAAUUGGUUGAACGUAAAAUCCAGCUGAGAACUGUCUUAAGGACAACAGAAUUGUGAAAUAGAUUAUGAGAGCAUCUGGCAACUGGCAAGCCGGUUCCAUUAUGCUCAGCUUUGAUGCGUUGCUAUGAAGGAUUAAAUCACAGCUUGCUUAUUGGUAACGAAAUCUGAGGCUAAGUCAUGAAAUUUCAUUAGUGAAUCUGGAAACUGAAAUUUCGAGACUAAUUUCCAGUUCCUUGCUUGAAUUUUAUGUAGGGUAAGCUCUGCUUCCUCUUUAAUUCUUCUAAUUGUUUUCUCUUCA